This is a long non-coding RNA of Erpetoichthys calabaricus (reedfish), 391 nucleotides long. RefSeq lists it as uncharacterized. NCBI's taxonomy places the organism in Eukaryota, Metazoa, Chordata, Cladistia, Polypteriformes, Polypteridae. The record is from RefSeq and is a predicted model, not a curated record. The transcript has 3 exons.
CAGUUGCUAGCAUUCAGUGAACAACCCGCGGUAUAACUCUAUGUGAAUUUUCACGUGAUUUUGUGUUUUUUCGCGUAAAUUUGAAUUGAUUGUUGAAAGGUGUGAAGGUGGCAUGCGUAUCCAGGACUUGGCUGCUGCAUACCGUAUGCUGAGAACGAUGGUAUCUACUAUUGUGAAAAACAAAGACGUUAUUAAAUCGUAAAGUGAGGCUAAAUUCUCAUUUAUUUCAUCUAAUUGCUUUUGUAUUUAUGUAUUUUAGUAUUAAGCAGUGUUUAAAUUAUUUUAUACAACCCCAUCAAUGUAUAAUAUGCCAAUAACAAUAGGAUUGUUUUUCAUGGGAACGGAUUAAUCAUUUUCCCUUUAUUUCUUAUGGGAAAAAUUUGUUUGGUAU